Molecule: ribosomal RNA, 96 nt
Filed under: Chrysemys picta bellii (western painted turtle)
Lineage: Eukaryota; Metazoa; Chordata; Testudines; Emydidae
Source: RNAcentral
UCCGGCAGUGAUCUUGUCAAAAAUGAGCUACGGAGGGGCAGGCUGGUUUAAUACUUGGAUGGGAAACCUCCAGCGAAAACCUGCACGCUCCCGGCA